This 58-nucleotide microRNA precursor is filed under the name Microcaecilia unicolor. RNAcentral's name for it is "Mun-Mir-12477_pre stem-loop". The record is from RNAcentral. Lineage: Eukaryota; Metazoa; Chordata; Amphibia; Gymnophiona; Siphonopidae.
UGAGGCUUCCCACUUCAAGGCUGUGUUCUGACUCAUCCUGGAAGCUGGAAGCCUGGAU